This 508-nucleotide ribosomal RNA is filed under the name uncultured bacterium. RNAcentral's name for it is "bacterial SSU rRNA". It matches the Rfam family "Bacterial small subunit ribosomal RNA", at positions 383 to 902 of the family's 1533-position model. The record is from RNAcentral.
CUGAUGCAGCGACGCCGCGUGAGGGAUGACGGCCUUCGGGUUGUAAACCUCUUUCAGUAGGGAAGAAGCGAAAGUGACGGUACCUGCAGAAGAAGCGCCGGCUAACUACGUGCCAGCAGCCGCGGUAAUACGUAGGGCGCAAGCGUUAUCCGGAAUUAUUGGGCGUAAAGAGCUCGUAGGCGGUUUGUCGCGUCUGCUGUGAAAGACCGGGGCUCAACUCCGGUUCUGCAGUGGGUACGGGCAGACUAGAGUGCAGUAGGGGAGACUGGAAUUCCUGGUGUAGCGGUGAAAUGCGCAGAUAUCAGGAGGAACACCGAUGGCGAAGGCAGGUCUCUGGGCUGUAACUGACGCUGAGGAGCGAAAGCAUGGGGAGCGAACAGGAUUAGAUACCCUGGUAGUCCAUGCCGUAAACGUUGGGCACUAGGUGUGGGGGACAUUCCACGUUUUCCGCGCCGUAGCUAACGCAUUAAGUGCCCCGCCUGGGGAGUACGGCCGCAAGGCUAAACUC